Molecule: ribosomal RNA, 497 nt
Filed under: uncultured bacterium
Lineage: Bacteria
Description: partial 16S ribosomal RNA
Rfam family: Bacterial small subunit ribosomal RNA
Source: RNAcentral
GAUGAACGCUGGCGGCGUGCCUAAUACAUGCAAGUCGAGCGAACAGAUAAGGAGCUUGCUCCUUUGACGUUAGCGGCGGACGGGUGAGUAACACGUGUGUAACCUACCUAUAAGACUGGAAUAACUCCGGGAAACCGGGUCUAAUGCCGGAUAACAUGUUGAACCGCAUGGUUCUACAGUGAAAGGCGGCUUUGCUGUCACUUAUAGAUGGACCCGCGCCGUAUUAGCUAGUUGGGGAGGUAACGGCUCACCAAGGCAACGAUACGUAGCCGACCUGAGAGGGUGAUCGGCCACACUGGAACUGAGACACGGUCCAGACUCCUAAGGGAGGCAGCAGUAGGGAAUGUGACGCAAUGGGCGAAAGCAUGACGGAGCAACGCCGCGUGAGUGAUGACGGUGUUCGGAUCGUAAAACUGUGUUAUUAGGGAAGAACAAAUGCGUAAGUAACUGUGCGCGUCUUGACGGUACCUAAUCAGAAAGCCACGGCUAACUACGUG